Molecule: ribosomal RNA, 793 nt
Filed under: uncultured bacterium
Lineage: Bacteria
Description: bacterial SSU rRNA
Rfam family: Bacterial small subunit ribosomal RNA
Source: RNAcentral
AGAGUUUGAUCCUGGCUCAGGAUGAACGCUAGCGGCAGGCUUAACACAUGCAAGUCGAGGGGCAUCACAGAUAGCAAUAUUGGGUGGCGACCGGCGCACGGGUGAGUAACGCGUAUGCAAUCUGCCUAUAACUGGGGCAUAACUCGUCGAAAGGCGGACUAAUUUCCCAUAAGACCACGACCCGGCAUCGGGAUGAGGUAAAAGCUAAGGCGGUUAUAGAUGAGCAUGCGUUCCAUUAGCUAGUUGGUGAGGUCACGGCUCACCAAGGCGACGAUGGAUAGGGGUUCUGAGAGGAAGAUCCCCCACACUGGGACUGAGACACGGCCCAGACUCCUACGGGAGGCAGCAGUGAGGAAUAUUGGUCAAUGGGCACAAGCCUGAACCAGCCAUGCCGCGUGAAGGAAGACGGCCUUAUGGGUUGUAAACUUCUUUUAUGAGGGAGCAAUAAGGGGUACGUGUACCCUGAUGAGAGUACCUUAUGAAUAAGCAUCGGCUAACUCCGUGCCAGCAGCCGCGGUAAUACGGAGGAUGCAAGCGUUAUCCGGAUUUAUUGGGUUUAAAGGGUGCGUAGGCGGAUUAAUAAGUCAGUGGUGAAAGUUUAUCGCUUAACGGUAAAAUUGCCAUUGAUACUGCUAGUCUUGAGUGUAUUUGAGGUAGGCGGAAUGUGUGGUGUAGCGGUGAAAUGCUUAGAUAUCACACAGAACACCGAUUGCGAAGGCAGCUUGCUAAGAUACAACUGACGCUGAGGCACGAAAGUGUGGGGAUCAAACAGGAUUAGAUACCCUGGUAGUCG